Zonotrichia albicollis (white-throated sparrow) is the source of this 1817-nucleotide non-coding RNA. The record is from RefSeq and is a predicted model, not a curated record. NCBI's taxonomy places the organism in Eukaryota, Metazoa, Chordata, Aves, Passeriformes, Passerellidae.
UCUCUGCUGCUUUAUGCAAUUGUGUCCCCAGCCAAGCCACUGGGGUAGGGGAUGGAGGAGGGAGUGCUCUGUUUGCUCUCCUCUAACUGAAUACCCCUCCCUUCACUAGGGCAGAGCUGGGGAGCUUGCAGUCAUAAACACUACACAUUGCAGCAGUGCCCAUUUGUUUUCCGCUUACUGUCCUUAUUCUUCCAUAUGCAAACCAGGCAGCUUAAGUUUACUUUGAUGGGCAAAGUUGCUGCAGGGUCAAAUGGAAAGAAGAGAUUGGCAGGAAAGGAGCAAAUCCUCCUUAAAUGAAAGUGUCUGCAGUAAUUAGCAAAUGUUGCAAAAAUGAGCUGAUAAACAAGCAAAAGGUUCUGUAGCAGGCUGAGACUGCACAAGGGAUCUGGGUCUGCAGCAGAGCAGCAAUCUGUGGAUGCCUGAUUGCAGCUGACAGCAGGGAUGGACCCCAGAGCGAGCUGCAGCGCCGAGACACGUGGGAGGUGUCGCACACGGUUUGCUCAUCACCCGUUUGCUGCAGAGGCAGCUCGUCGCUUCUCCCUGCAAUGAAAGAGAAGGACAAGGGCACCUCAGAGACAUCAAAGCACAGCAUCCUCUGGGAAAAGGAGAGAUAAAGAGAGAAGAAAAUGUUCCAGAAGUACGGACAAGCAGGAGUUGUGUUCAGCCCCUUUUGGAACAAUAAUCUCCCGAAGGUGUUGGAGCGCUCCAGCAACGCGCAGCGGGAGCAGCCGGGGCUCUGUGCGCAGCGUAAUCUGAUCAUGCUCUGUUUGGAUAAGAAACACAGCUUCAUGCUUUUCACUUGCUAGCAAAGAGAUUUAUUAUGAAAAUCAGUUCCCUGCCUCAGAGCACAUAAAAAACAGUUGGCUUCAUAACCUUGGGGGAAAAAAAUAAAUAAAGAAAUCCCAUGAGACACGCGUGAGAACUGACCCCACUGAUGGUUUAAUGAGGAUGGUGCGUGCCACUCACCUGGAUCAAUAAUUUUUGCACAUUCCUGCCAAGCUCCCACCACAGGCCCUGUCUCAGCCCAGCAAAGAAGACCUUGCCAUGUUUCAGGAAGAAAGGUACAUUCAGAGGCUGCGUUUGGCUCAGGAGGCACCACUGCAAUGAGAGGCUUCAGCUCUUCCCACGGGUGUGAUAAUUCACAGUUUAAAUAAGUUUUUCCUGUCCUGAAGGUAAAAUACAACACAGAAACUGCCACGAGCAUUUUUUUUGGUUUGUGGUUGCAGCAUGGCCUUUUCUGCCCCUUGGACAUAUGCCAUGAAUGCUUUAAUCCUGGCAAGGGUUUUAUCUUAAACAGAUACAAUGAGGGAUCUGAGAAGUAGGUCAGGGGACAUUAGAGGCUGUUUGAUUCAUUGAAUUGUGUGCAUAGCACGCUUUCAGGCCUGAAAUGUCAUUACCUGGAUGCGAUGAAGCUGCUGUUUUGUUUUAGAAAAUAGUCAAAUGGAUGGUUAGGAGGAGAAAGGAGAGAGGAAGGACUGGGUUUCUGGGGACCAAACCCAUUUCAAGCAGGAAGCCACCACCCCAAGCAGGUGCCUGAGCCUCGUGGUGGCAGCAGGGACCAGCAGCACCCAGAGGGGCAGGGUGGGGCUCUGGGGUGGCCAUGGGGUUACCGAUGUGGGAACAGGGGAGCUGCAGCUGUCGCCUCUGCUGGCAAAACAGUGCUUGGGGACUCCUGACAUCCUUUCCAAAGUAUUGAUGAUAUUUUUUUUCCCCCUCACAGUGCUUUACCACUCUGUGUCUGUCCAGGGUGCAGAGUUUUCAUUUCUUUUAAUGGUUCUCAAGAAAUUAUUGAGAAAUAAAAAUGCAUUUCAAAGUUA